This 253-nucleotide ribosomal RNA is filed under the name uncultured prokaryote. RNAcentral's name for it is "partial 16S ribosomal RNA". It matches the Rfam family "Bacterial small subunit ribosomal RNA", at positions 525 to 777 of the family's 1533-position model. The record is from RNAcentral.
ACGUAGGGGGCUAGCGUUGUCCGGAUUUAUUGGGCGUAAAGAGCGUGUAGGCGGCCUGGUAGGUCUGCUGUGAAAACUCGAGGCUCAACCUCGAGAUGUCGGCGGAAACCAUCUGGCUAGAGUCCGGAAGAGGAGAGUGGAAUUCCUGGUGUAGCGGUGAAAUGCGCAGAUAUCAGGAAGAACACCUAUGGCGAAGGCGGGUUGCUGGGCUGACACUGACGCUGAUGCGCGAAAGCUAGGGGAGCGAACGGGA